This 77-nucleotide transfer RNA is filed under the name Candidatus Allofournierella pullistercoris. Its description in RNAcentral is "Candidatus Fournierella pullistercoris (gut metagenome) tRNA-Ile". It matches the Rfam family "tRNA". From Rfam's summary of the family: Transfer RNA (tRNA) molecules are approximately 80 nucleotides in length. Their secondary structure includes four short double-helical elements and three loops (D, anti-codon, and T loops). Further hydrogen bonds mediate the characteristic L-shaped molecular structure. tRNAs have two regions of fundamental functional importance: the anti-codon, which is responsible for specific mRNA codon recognition, and the 3' end, to which the tRNAs corresponding amino acid is attached (by aminoacyl-tRNA synthetases). tRNAs cope with the degeneracy of the genetic code in two manners: having more than one tRNA (with a specific anti-codon) for a particular amino acid; and 'wobble' base-pairing, i.e. permitting non-standard base-pairing at the 3rd anti-codon position. The record is from RNAcentral. Lineage: Bacteria; Bacillati; Bacillota; Clostridia; Eubacteriales; Oscillospiraceae.
GGGCCAUUAGCUCAGCUGGUUAGAGCACGCGGCUCAUAACCGCAUGGUCCCGGGUUCGAGCCCUGGAUGGCCCACCA